RNAcentral lists this ribosomal RNA (376 nucleotides) under uncultured organism. RNAcentral's name for it is "partial 16S ribosomal RNA". It matches the Rfam family "Bacterial small subunit ribosomal RNA", at positions 527 to 896 of the family's 1533-position model. The record is from RNAcentral.
GGAGGGUGCAAGCGUUGUUCGGAAUUAUUGGGCGUAAAGAGCGUGUAGGCGGUUCGGUAAGUCAGAUGUGAAAGCCCUGGGCUCAACCCAGGAAGUGCAUUUGAAACUACCAGACUUGAGUACGGGAGAGGAGGGGGGAAUUCCCGGUGUAGAGGUGAAAUUCGUAGAUAUCGGGAGGAAUACCAGUGGCGAAGGCGCCCCUCUGGACCGAUACUGACGCUGAGACGCGAAAGCGUGGGGAGCAAACAGGAUUAGAUACCCUGGGUAGUCCACGCCGUAAACGAUGAGCACUAGGUGUAGCGGGUAUUGACCCCCCUGCUGUGCCGUAGCUAACGCAUUAAGUGCUCCGCCUGGGGGUACUACGGUCGCAAGACUA